RNAcentral lists this ribosomal RNA (253 nucleotides) under uncultured bacterium. Its description in RNAcentral is "partial 16S ribosomal RNA". It matches the Rfam family "Bacterial small subunit ribosomal RNA", at positions 524 to 776 of the family's 1533-position model. The record is from RNAcentral.
GACAGAGGGUGCAAGCGUUGUUCGGAAUCAUUGGGCGUAAAGGGCGCGUAGGCGGUUUUGUAAGUCGGAUGUGAAAGCCCAGGGCUUAACCUUGGAAGUGCAUCCGAAACUGCAUGACUAGAGUCUCGGAGAGGGUGGUAGAAUUCCCAGUGUAGAGGUGAAAUUCGUAGAUAUUGGGAGGAAUACCGGUGGCGAAGGCGACCACCUGGACGAAGACUGACGCUGAGGCGCGAGAGCGUGGGGAGCAAACAGG